GAGUUUGAUCCUGGCUCAGAAUCAACGCUGGCGGCGUGCCUCAGACAUGCAAGUCGAACGAUUAAACUUUCCUUCGGGAAAGAUAUAAAGUGGCGCACGGGUGAGUAACACGUAGGUAAUGUGCCUUUGGGUGGGAAAUAACUUAGGGAAACUUAAGCUAAUACCGCAUAAUGCAGCGGCUCCUUCGGGAGACAGUUGUUAAAGAUUUAUCGCCUAAAGAGCAGCCUGCGGCAGAUUAGCUAGUUGGUAAGGUAACGGCUUACCAAGGCUACGAUCUGUAUCCGACCUGAGAGGGUGGUCGGACACACUGACACUGAAUAACGGGUCAGACUCCUACGGGAGGCAGCAGUCGGGAAUUUUGGGCAAUGGGCGAAAGCCUGACCCAGCAACGCCGCGUGAAGGAUGAAGUCUUUCGGGAUGUAAACUUCGUAAGAAUAGGAAGAAUAAAUGACGGUACUAUUUGUAAGGUCCGGCUAACUACGUGCCAGCAGCCGCGGUAAUACGUAGGGACCAAGCGUUGUUCGGAUUUACUGGGCGUAAAGGGCGCGUAGGCGGCGUGUCAAGUCAAUUGUGAAAUCUCCGAGCUUAACUCGGAACGGUCAAUUGAUACUGAUGUGCUAGAGUGCAGAAGGGGCAAUCGGAAUUCUUGGUGUAGCGGUGAAAUGCGUAGAUAUCAAGAGGAACACCUGAGGUGAAGACGGGUUGCUGGGCUGACACUGACGCUGAGGCGCGAAAGCUAGGGUAGCAAACGGGAUUAGAUACCCCGGUAGUCCUAGCCCUAAACGAUGAAUACUUGGUGUCUGGAGUUUUAAUUCUCCNGGUGCCGUCCCUAACGUUUUUAGUAUUCCGCCUGGGGAGUACGCACGCAAGUGUGAACUCAANGAAUUGACGGGGACCNCNCAACGGUGGAGCAUGUGGUUAAUUCNACNCACNCGAAAACCUUACUGACUAAANGCANGNANAUGGUAAUGCAAUCGUCGGCACCACCCAACAGGGCUCUGGNNUCCUCACUCNGUCNGNAUNUGGNUAAUCCCACNNCCANCCUUAAANUGCUAAAUAGUAAACCUUAAACGCUUAAACGAAAGGGGGA
Molecule: ribosomal RNA, 1090 nt
Filed under: uncultured bacterium
Lineage: Bacteria
Description: partial 16S ribosomal RNA
Rfam family: Bacterial small subunit ribosomal RNA
Source: RNAcentral